This 74-nucleotide transfer RNA is filed under the name Stegodyphus mimosarum. It matches the Rfam family "tRNA". From Rfam's summary of the family: Transfer RNA (tRNA) molecules are approximately 80 nucleotides in length. Their secondary structure includes four short double-helical elements and three loops (D, anti-codon, and T loops). Further hydrogen bonds mediate the characteristic L-shaped molecular structure. tRNAs have two regions of fundamental functional importance: the anti-codon, which is responsible for specific mRNA codon recognition, and the 3' end, to which the tRNAs corresponding amino acid is attached (by aminoacyl-tRNA synthetases). tRNAs cope with the degeneracy of the genetic code in two manners: having more than one tRNA (with a specific anti-codon) for a particular amino acid; and 'wobble' base-pairing, i.e. permitting non-standard base-pairing at the 3rd anti-codon position. The record is from Rfam by way of RNAcentral. Lineage: Eukaryota; Metazoa; Arthropoda; Arachnida; Araneae; Eresidae.
GCCUUCGUGGUGUAGUGGUCAGCACACUCGACGUUGUAACCUAGAUGUCCGUGGUUCGAUUUCCGGCGAGGGCA